RNAcentral lists this long non-coding RNA (1308 nucleotides) under Gossypium barbadense (sea-island cotton). Its description in RNAcentral is "long non-coding RNA (GBAR_LNC002254)". The record is from RNAcentral. Lineage: Eukaryota; Viridiplantae; Streptophyta; Magnoliopsida; Malvales; Malvaceae.
UGCAUUAUUAAAUAAAAAUAAAACAACCCUAUGAAUCAGUCAAAAUUUAUUUAAAGCAACAGUUAAAACUUAAAAGUAUACGUUGAGGUCCCCUCAUUUCUUCUGUAAUCAUAUUCAAAAAACAAUGAUAUGAAGCACGAUGAGUGAGAUAGGCACAAAUUGGAUUGCGCCACUCCACCAAUAAUACUGAUCCAACAGCACCGAAGGAGGGCCAAGGCAAGUUAACGUGUUGGAUUCUCGUUGGACCACUCGGUAAUCUGCUAAUGGGCCAUUUAAUUGAAGUCAAGUUUCAGUUUUUCCCUAGUCAAAUAAUUCAUCAAUCACUUAUUUGUUUUUACUGAAUUAAAAGUAAAAAUAAAAUAAAUAAAAAUCGAUUUUCUGUCAUCAAAUCACAUCCAUUCAAUUUUUACUGAAUUAAAAAUAAAUAAAAAACAAAACCACCUUUUAAUGGUAUAAGCAGCACUUUGAUUUCCUCUUGUGAAGAUGUAUUUAAAAUUUAUGUGACCAGCAUUGUAGGACCAAAUUUAAAACAAACCCAAAGCCCAACAGAUUACCCAAAAUCUAACCCACAUCUCUCAGCCCAAUAUACAAAACAAAACACAAGCCCACAUAAUACCUAGCCCAAAUACCAAUAAAACAAAAAAGGAAAUGAGAAACCCAGCAUCAGGGAAGCCAGCGCCGCAAGCCUGAAUCCGGGCUCCGCACGUCGCGCAACUCCGAGUCGUGCGCCACACCACCUCCCCGCGAUCUCCGCUUGGCACCAGCAAGCACGCAACAAGUAGUUAGAAAUUAGGCUAUAUAAACUCGUUUAAACAGUGUAUUUUUUUUUACAUUUUUUUUGGAUUUAAAAAAGAGAAUAUACGAACAAAUACCACAAGACACAGAGGAAAAUCGCAGAGAAAUUGAUUGUUAGGUGAUUUUCUUUCAGAUCUCACACCUUUUAAGUUUCGAUUUGUUUUUCUUUCUCAAAAAUAGUACUAGAAAGGGGAAAAAUGAAUACACUUACCGCGUGUUUUAAAACGGGGUUGAAACCCCUAUUGCGCGAUGUCGGCCACUAGAUCUGGUGGUGGUCCGGCGAUGAUGGGCGCGUUCACUGGUCCUAGCAGAGGGAAGAAGGGUGAAAGCCCCUUUGUUUUUUCCAGUUUCGGCAAAUGGGUUGGUAAAUGGGGUGUUUUAAUUUUGCUUUAGAAAAUGGCAGACAACCCUUUGGUUUUUCUGGUUUUAAUUGCAAAGGGAAUAGCGCCACUUUACUUUUUUGGUUUUAUUCUGCUUUUGAUCCUUCUGUGAUUUCUAUCUUUUCAAUGUUUU